GGCUUUUAGGAGCAUGUGCACGCCCGCCAUCUUUAUCCAUCCACCUGUGCACCUUUUGUAGUCUUGGGAAUAAUAACAGUGCAGGCCGACCCGCUCGAUGAGCUUGUCAGCUCUUCGGAUAUGUGGAUUGCUGUGCGAAAGUACAGCUCUCUGCAAAUGAAGCCUUAUCUCUUACCUCAAGUCUAUGUCCUUUCAUAUACCACAUAGCAUGUUAUAGAAUGUAUUACAUGGGCCUCUGUGCCUAUAAAUCUAUACAACUUUCAGCAACGGAUCUCUUGGCUCUCGCAUCGAUGAAGAACGCAGCGAAAUGCGAUAAGUAAUGUGAAUUGCAGAAUUCAGUGAAUCAUCGAAUCUUUGAACGCACCUUGCGCUCCUUGGUAUUCCGAGGAGCAUGCCUGUUUGAGUGUCAUUAAAUUCUCAACCACUUCAGUUUUUAUAACUGGAGUUGGCUUGGAGUUGGGGGUUUUUGCGGGCCUUUCUGAGGUCGGCUCCCCUGAAAUGCAUUAGCAGAACCGUUUGCGGUACGUUGCCGGUGUGAUAAUUAUCUACGCCAUAAACGACCACUGCUCUCUGUCUGUUCAGCUUCUAAUCGUCCUUUGAUGGACAAUUUUUGAACUCUUGACCUCAAAUCAGGUAGGACUACCCGCUGAACUUAAGCAUAUCAAUAAGCCGGAGGA
Molecule: ribosomal RNA, 677 nt
Filed under: Lepiota coloratipes
Lineage: Eukaryota; Fungi; Basidiomycota; Agaricomycetes; Agaricales; Agaricaceae
Description: eukaryotic LSU rRNA
Rfam family: 5.8S ribosomal RNA (bases 256-409)
Source: RNAcentral